Molecule: ribosomal RNA, 468 nt
Filed under: uncultured bacterium
Lineage: Bacteria
Description: partial 16S ribosomal RNA
Rfam family: Bacterial small subunit ribosomal RNA
Source: RNAcentral
GACGAACGCUGGCGGCGUGCUUAACACAUGCAAGUCGAACGGAAAGGCCCUGCUUUUGUGGGGUGCUCGAGUGGCGAACGGGUGAGUAACACGUGAGUAACCUGCCCUUGACUUUGGGAUAACUUCAGGAAACUGGGGCUAAUACCGGAUAGGAGCUCCUGCUGCAUGGUGGGGGUUGGAAAGUUUCGGCGGUUGGGGAUGGACUCGCGGCUUAUCAGCUUGUUGGUGGGGUAGUGGCUUACCAAGGCUUUGACGGGUAGCCGGCCUGAGAGGGUGACCGGGCACAUUGGGACUGAGAUACGGCCCAGACUCCUACGGGAGGCAGCAGUGGGGAAUGUUGCACAAUGGGCGGAAGCCUGAUGCAGCAACGCCGCGUGCGGGAUGACGGCCUUCGGGUUGUAAACCGCUUUCGCCUGUGACGAAGCGUGAGUGACGGUAAUGGGUAAAGAAGCACCGGCUAACUACGUG